UUUCGUCUGGCAGAAUUAAUGCGAAUGAUUUAGGUUCAUUUUAUGGAGAAUAAUCUUCGGCGGAGU
This 66-nucleotide transfer RNA is filed under the name Perna perna. RNAcentral's name for it is "tRNA-Leu". The record is from RNAcentral. Lineage: Eukaryota; Metazoa; Mollusca; Bivalvia; Mytilida; Mytilidae.